AACGAACGCUGGCGGCAGGCCUAACACAUGCAAGUCGAGCGCGCCCUUCGGGGUGAGCGGCGGACGGGUUAGUAACGCGUGGGAAUAUGCCCAAAGGUACGGAAUAGCCUCUGGAAACGGAGAGUAAUACCGUAUGUGCCCUUCGGGGGAAAGAUUUAAUCGCCCUUUGGAUUUAGCCCGCGUUUAGAUUAGGUAGUUGGUGGGGUAAUGGCCUACCAAGCCUACGAUCUAUAGCUGGUUUUAGAGGAUGAUCAGCAACACUGGGACUGAGACACGGCCCAGACUCCUACGGGAGGCAGCAGUGGGGAAUCUU
RNAcentral lists this ribosomal RNA (313 nucleotides) under uncultured bacterium. Its description in RNAcentral is "bacterial SSU rRNA". It matches the Rfam family "Bacterial small subunit ribosomal RNA", at positions 29 to 365 of the family's 1533-position model. The record is from RNAcentral.